Molecule: long non-coding RNA, 1127 nt
Filed under: Daphnia pulex (common water flea)
Lineage: Eukaryota; Metazoa; Arthropoda; Branchiopoda; Diplostraca; Daphniidae
Description: uncharacterized LOC124198458, transcript variant X1
Source: RNAcentral
GAAAAAUGUAUAGUCAAAUUUUAAAUAAUGUAGGCUUAUAAUCCUUUGAUUGUAAAUUAUUUUCCCUACUACGUAAAGCUGGUACAAUAGCAGUACGGUUUUUUAUAUACCGAAAAGCAUUCAGUCAUCAUGGAGUCCAGGAUGAUUUACGAUGUGAUGGUAGAACAAUGCUGGAUUAUCACCCUAUAAUUCUUGAAACUACAUUAGUUUCCAAUGCCAGUGGAUCGGCAAGGCUGAGACUUGCAAACUCAUCAACAUCUGGAAAAUGAAAUUUGCAAAUUCCUACAAAGAUCCUAUGCUUCAGAUUCUUGAAUGUGGAGUGAACCCUUAUGAUGCACUGUCAUUGGCUGAGAAAUCGGCUCUUUAUGCAACCCAAAUUCCAUUAAAAUAGCAACCAUGGACGGAUAUCAACAUGAACUGGAGCUCUCAGAUGAUCCUUAUGAUACCAAGAGACUAAACACAGAGAACAUUCCUAGUGUACUGACUUUGAUGAAGGAGGUGGUGUCCUGGUGGCACGUUGCGAACAUGACGCUGUCACCGUUGGAUCGGCUGGUGAUAACCAAUUUAUCAACAUCAAAGCUCUUAAUGAAUGGGACUCAAGGUUGUCUGGUGAAGUCGAAUGGCGCCAGAAACUGGACACUCAGCGAGGUGCUGUUCAGGCCAACGAGCUGAAUAAUGCAUGCAAGCUAGCAAAAUGGACUGUGCAAGCUCUGCUCGCCAACUCUGAUUGGAUUAAAUUCGGAUAUGUUUCCCGUAUACACAUACGAGAUACAUCGCGUCGUGUAAUCCUUGGAACACAGCAGUUCCACCCGUCAGAUUUCGCAUCACAAAUCAACCUUAACAUCGACAAUGCUUGGGGCAUUCUCCGUUGGAUUAAUGAUUUGUGUAUGAAGGAAGAGGAUGGCAAAUAUUUGUUGGUGAACGAUCCUAACAAGCCCGUCAUCCGCCUUUACAAGGUGCCCGAUAACACGUUUGAGAGCGACGAUGAAGCAUUUUUCGGAGAAGAAGACGAGUAACGGCUGAUACAAACAAAAGAACAGCUCUUCCACCAAUUCCCAAAUCUACAACAAUACUACGUUUGUAAUGAUCGUUACAUGGAAUAAAGCACUUAUGAAGCUUCCAGUUUA